UAGCGCUGUGGAACCACCCGAUCCCAUCCCGAACUCGGAAGUGAAACGCAGCUGCGCCGAUGGUAGUGUGGCUCAAGCCAUGCGAGAGUAGGUCAUCGCCAGGG
Molecule: ribosomal RNA, 104 nt
Filed under: Stenotrophomonas maltophilia
Lineage: Bacteria; Pseudomonadati; Pseudomonadota; Gammaproteobacteria; Lysobacterales; Lysobacteraceae
Also listed under: 5 other names
Source: RNAcentral